UGUGCGCGUGUGUGUGUGUCUCUGUGUGUGUAUUUGUGUAUGUGCGUGUCUCUGUGUGUGCGCGUGUGUGUAGGGGUGCAGUGGUCAUCUGGGAGUGAGCAGGGAAUGCAGCCUCGGACCGGGAGGACCAACCCUCUGUUCAACAAUACACACACCAAAAAUACAAUACAGUACAACAAUGUAAGAGUGUAUGUGUGUGUGUGUGUGUAAUAGCAGAUCUUGGUUUAGCUCUAUGUACAUGUGCUCUGCUCUCAGGUUAUGUUUGAGUGUGUGUGGGUAUAGGCCUACUGUGUACUUAGGGUUACAGUGUGUGGGUAUAGGCCUACUGUGUACUUAGGGUUACAGUGUGUGGGUAUAGGCCUACUGUGUACUUAGGGUUACAGUGUGUGGGUAUAGGCCUACUGUGUACUUAGGGUUACAGUGUGUGGGUAUAGGCCUACUGUGUACUUAGGUUUACAGUGUGUGGGUAUAGGCCUACUGUGUACUUAGGGUUACAGUGUGUGGGUAUAGGCCUACUGUGUACUUAGGGUUACAGUGUGUGGGUAUAGACCUACUGUGUACUUAUGUACACAGUGUGUGUGUAACUAGGUUGACAGUGUAUGUGUGUGUAACUAGGUUGACAGUGUAUGUGUGUGUGUAACUAGGUUGACAGUGUAUGUGUGUGUGUAACUAGGUUGACAGUGUAUGUGUGUGUGUAACUAGGUUGACAGUGUAUGUGUGUGUGUAACUAGGUUGACAGUGUAUGUGUGUGUGUAACUAGGUUGACAGUGUAUGUGUGUGUGUAACUAGGUUGACAGUGUAUGUGUGUGUGUAACUAGGUUGACAGUGUAUGUGUGUGUGUAACUAGGUUGACAGUGUAUGUGUGUGUGUAACUAGGUUGACAGUGUAUGUGUGUGUGUAACUAGGUUGACAGUGUAUGUGUGUGUGUAACUAGGUUGACAGUGUAUGUGUGUGUGUAACUAGGUUGACAGUAUAUGUGUGUGUAACUAGGUUGACAGUGUAUG
Molecule: long non-coding RNA, 1004 nt
Organism: Oncorhynchus keta (chum salmon)
Lineage: Eukaryota; Metazoa; Chordata; Actinopteri; Salmoniformes; Salmonidae
Exons: 3
Source: RefSeq, a predicted model, not a curated record